GACGCGGACCGGGCCCCUCUGGCGAGCUUUUGCUCGUGAUGUCGGACGUAUACU
Molecule: non-coding RNA, 54 nt
Organism: Erythrobacter sp. AP23
Lineage: Bacteria; Pseudomonadati; Pseudomonadota; Alphaproteobacteria; Sphingomonadales; Erythrobacteraceae
Source: Rfam